This 40-nucleotide small RNA is filed under the name Arabidopsis thaliana (thale cress). RNAcentral's name for it is "ATSL083480". Lineage: Eukaryota; Viridiplantae; Streptophyta; Magnoliopsida; Brassicales; Brassicaceae. The record is from RNAcentral.
UUGAAAGAAGAUAGAAUAAGCCAAUUACCAGAUCCUUUGU